GAUGAACGCUGGCGGCGUGCCUAAUACAUGCAAGUCGAGCGAACGGACGAGACGCUUGCUUCUCUUAUGUUAGCGGCGGACGGGUGAGUAACACGUGGAUAACCUACCUAUAAGACUGGGAUAACUUCGGGAAACCGGAGCUAAUACCGGAUAAUAUUUUGAACCGCAUGGUUCAAAAGUGUAAGACGGUCUUGCUGUCACUUAUAGAUGGAUCCUCGCUGCAUUAGCUAGUUGGUAAGGUAACGGCUUACCAAGGCAACGAUGCAUAGCCGACCUGAGAGGGUGAUCGGCCACACUGGAACUGAGACACGGUCCAGACUCCUACGGGAGGCAGCAGUAGGGAAUCUUCCGCAAUGGGCGAAAGCCUGACGGAGCAAUGCCGCGUGAGUGAUGAAGGUCUUCGGAUCGUAAAACUCUGUUAUUAGGGAAGAACAUAUGUGUAAUUAACUGUGCACAUCUUGACGGUACCUAAUCAGAAAGCCACGGCUAACUACGUG
RNAcentral lists this ribosomal RNA (497 nucleotides) under uncultured bacterium. Its description in RNAcentral is "partial 16S ribosomal RNA". It matches the Rfam family "Bacterial small subunit ribosomal RNA", at positions 28 to 507 of the family's 1533-position model. The record is from RNAcentral.